GAGGUGCCAAACAUACUCUAAACAACUCAUAAACAACUACCCAAAAACCCCCUAAAGCAUCACUUAAACAUGCAUAGAAAACACUCAAGAAAAGGCUGGGCAGGGCACUUUCGGCGGCACCUUCGGCGGCCGAAAGUCCCAGACAGAGACGAAAGACAGGCAGGUUCGGGGGCACCUUCGGCGGCCGAACCUUCUCUCCAGAGACGAAAGUCAGGCACUUUCGGCGGCCGAACAUUACCUUCGGCGGCCGAAAGUCUGCUUUCAAGCC
Molecule: long non-coding RNA, 268 nt
Filed under: Manihot esculenta (cassava)
Lineage: Eukaryota; Viridiplantae; Streptophyta; Magnoliopsida; Malpighiales; Euphorbiaceae
Description: long non-coding RNA (MESC_LNC000397)
Source: RNAcentral